This 450-nucleotide ribosomal RNA is filed under the name uncultured bacterium. RNAcentral's name for it is "partial 16S ribosomal RNA". It matches the Rfam family "Bacterial small subunit ribosomal RNA", at positions 354 to 796 of the family's 1533-position model. The record is from RNAcentral.
GUCGAGAAUCAUUCGCAAUGGGCGAAAGCCUGACGAUGCGACGCCGUGUGAGCGAAGAAGGCCUUAGGGUUGUAAAGCUCUUUCGCCUGGGAACAAGAGAGAUUGGCUAAUAUCCAAUUAAUUUGAGCGUACCAGGUAAAGAAGCACCGGCUAACUCCGUGCCAGCAGCUGCGGUAAUACGGAGGGUGCAAGCAUUAAUCGGAUUUAUUGGGCGUAAAGGGCGCGUAGGCGGGAAUAAAAGUCAGAUGUGAAAUCCUGGGGCUCAACCUCAGAACUGCAUUUGAAACUUUAUUUCUUGAGGGUAGGCGGAGAAAACGGAAUUCCACAAGUAGCGGUGAAAUGCGUAGAUAUGUGGAAGAACACCGGUGGCGAAGGCGGUUUUCUAGCUUAUUCCUGACGCUGAUGCGCGAAAGCAAGGGGAUCAAACAGGAUUAGAAACCCGGGUAGUCC